RNAcentral lists this transfer RNA (73 nucleotides) under Stegodyphus mimosarum. It matches the Rfam family "tRNA". Rfam says of the family: Transfer RNA (tRNA) molecules are approximately 80 nucleotides in length. Their secondary structure includes four short double-helical elements and three loops (D, anti-codon, and T loops). The record is from Rfam by way of RNAcentral. Lineage: Eukaryota; Metazoa; Arthropoda; Arachnida; Araneae; Eresidae.
GCCUUCAUGGUGUAGUGGUCAGCACACUCGGCGCGUAUUCCAGAGGUCUGUGGUUCAAGUCUCGGCGAGGGCA